CUUUCCUACACCAAAUUAAUCAAUAAAUACAAAAAUAAUAUAAUAAAGUAAAUUAAACAUAAAGAAAAGGAAUAGAUAAGUUUAGAACAAGAUAGGAUCGGAUUUUUUUUAAACUGCAGCAAUUAAUGCUGAAUUAAAUGAGAUGUCAGACUUGUUUUAAUCUUGUUGUAAUCACGUACAUAUACCAAACUACCAUCAUUUUCACAACCCCACCUCCUACCAAACAACACUUCUCCAAAAUACUUCCAACAAAAGCAGAAAAAGAAAGAGGGCGUGAGCAUACACAUCCAUCGCAGUAGAAAGUAGCAGUAAAGCCUUUUCCUCUCUAUAAAAAAAAGGGUUAUCUCCGCAAGUAAGGUCGAAGUAAGAAAUUCAAGUUAAAGGAACUAAACGAACAAGGUUAAGCAGCGAAGUGGUGGAGGAAGUGCUAUUAAGACAAGACAUUUAAUUCAGUCAGAUUU
This is a long non-coding RNA of Salvia splendens (bonfire salvia), 461 nucleotides long. RefSeq lists it as uncharacterized. The record is from RefSeq and is a predicted model, not a curated record. Lineage: Eukaryota; Viridiplantae; Streptophyta; Magnoliopsida; Lamiales; Lamiaceae. The transcript is spliced from 3 exons.